CCCUUAGAUGUUCUGGGCUGCACGCGCGCUACACUGAUGCGCUCAACGAGUUUUAACCUUGCCUGGAAAGGUUGGGUAAUCUUUUUAAAACGCAUCGUGAUGGGGAUAGAUUAUUGCAAUUAUUAAUCUUCAACGAGGAAUUCCUAGUAAGCGCGAGUCAUCAGCUCGUGCUGAUUACGUCCCUGCCCUUUGUACACACCGCCCGUCGCCCCUACCGAUUGAGUGAUCCGGUGAAUAAUUCGGACUGCGGCAUUGACCGGUUCCCGAUCGUUGCUGCGGAAAGUUUAGUGAACCUUAUCACUUAGAGGAAGGAGAANUCGUAACA
This 325-nucleotide ribosomal RNA is filed under the name uncultured eukaryote. RNAcentral's name for it is "partial 18S ribosomal RNA". It matches the Rfam family "Eukaryotic small subunit ribosomal RNA", at positions 1470 to 1796 of the family's 1831-position model. The record is from RNAcentral.